This 393-nucleotide long non-coding RNA is filed under the name Hordeum vulgare. RNAcentral describes it as "long non-coding RNA (HVUL_LNC004509)". Lineage: Eukaryota; Viridiplantae; Streptophyta; Magnoliopsida; Poales; Poaceae. The record is from RNAcentral.
GCUUGACAAAAAGUUUUAUUUUCUGUUGUUUAUCACUAAAUGGUUGGUGAAGUAAUGAUGGAAGGAGAUAUUAAAUUGUUGUUUGUGAUAUCAAGUGGCUUGCCUACAAUAAAGGACCAUGAGCAUGUCACUGAUUUGCAAAUGCUUUCACUGCUACCUGUUAUUAAUCAUCCGAUUUCUUACUUUUCCAUCUAUGCAGAAACUAAAGCGAGCAAUUUUUUCUCUUAGGAAAUGAACCAUAAUGUUUCCUCUACUUAAUUAGUUCCAUUAGUUUAUAGGAAAUUUUGAUGGUCAUUAGUUCAUAACAGAUGAUGUAUUUAUAUGGGAAAAUUAAUGAAUGUGUGUUAUUAUUGUUUGCAUCCGGUUCAAUAUAUUUUGGAUGACAUGCACAUU